This 384-nucleotide ribosomal RNA is filed under the name Triticum aestivum (bread wheat). Its description in RNAcentral is "partial small subunit ribosomal RNA". Lineage: Eukaryota; Viridiplantae; Streptophyta; Magnoliopsida; Poales; Poaceae. The record is from RNAcentral.
AUGGUUAAAGAUCUCUUGGAUGAGGACUUAGAUGGGCAUGUUGUUUAUUUCUUGGGUGAGACUGCUAAUAUUGCUAGACCUGAUAUUAAGACACGUAGACCUGUUGUAGGCAUGCCUGUUAUUUCUGUUAAAAUAGGAGAUCAUUGUUAUCAUGGCUUAUGCGAUAUGGGUGCUAGUGCUAGUGCGAUACCUUAUGAUCUUUAUAAAGAAAUGAUGCACGACAUUGCACCCAUUGAAUUAGAAGACAUUGAUGUUACUAUUAAGCUUGCUAAUAGGGAUACCAUUAAACCUAUUGGGAUUGUUAGAGAUGUUGAAGUUUUGUGUGGGAAGGUUAAAUACCCUGCUGAUUUUCUUGUUCUUGGUUCCCCACAAGAUGAUUUUUGA